UUGCCGCCUGCCCUGCACGCGGUGCAGAGGCACGCAAUGCCUUCUGUUUUUAUACAGCAAAUAUGAGAAAAGUAUCUUUUAUUUCUCCAAGCUGAUGAUUUACAGAAUUUCACAGCAGUUUUGCAUUAGAGGACUGGACGCAUCUGUGCCACCUUCUCUUUCUCAGCACUGCUGGUCUUUUCUGCUCCUGUUCACCUGCUGUUAAGCUCACACGUCCUGAAUCCCUCGCAUGAAGGUGGAAGAAGGGACCUGAGCAGAAGAGUCCUACUUUCUCAGUUUUGCCAAAGAGAUCUCAGAUUAGAGCACUGGCAUUGCACGUGGUUUGGAAUGUUUCUUGAGCAUGAAAGGUUCUAGGAGACUGCAAGCCCCCUGGCUGAUCUACAGCUCACACAUGUUGUUAAUUAAAGCAUCACUGAUUUCAUGCACCUGGCUGAGCUCUUUAGUGGAAGGCAGAAACUGGGAAGUUACUCUGUUUGUGUGGUGUUGUACUCCAGAACAAAAGCAGCAAAAUGGAGAUGAGACUAGAAGAAAACAAAUGUGUGAGCAGCAUAAGGUGAAUACGCAGACAAUUGUGUGGGGGAAAAUGGCGCGACGGAUGAAUGAUUGGAGGAGCAUAGCAGUGGGAGCUGAAAUACACGCCUACAGGAAAUACGUGCAUACCACAAAGACAAGUUUAACGCAUAGCCGCCCAGGUUAAGUGUAAGGAAUCUAGGUAUGGUGCAAGUCACAACGUAGUCACAACAGCCGAGGGUUCUGCUCGG
This 761-nucleotide long non-coding RNA is filed under the name Numida meleagris (helmeted guineafowl). RNAcentral's name for it is "lncRNA (ENSNMEG00000004072.1)". The record is from RNAcentral. Lineage: Eukaryota; Metazoa; Chordata; Aves; Galliformes; Numididae.